CUGAGAAAUUGUCACCAUUGGACUCCAUUGUGACUGAGUGAAUUCAGACUUUUCUGUAUCAAUGAGGAAAUGACCUUUUACAUCAUUCAAGCAUACAGCAGGGACUGCAGAUAACCUUCCUGUGGGUCACAGAGCAGGGAGGAGAUGCGAUGAUUAUUCCUCAUACAGCGAACGUUGGUGUCCCUCCACAAGGGGAAGAUCUGACGAAUGAUAGUCAUCCUCCCCAGAGAGCUGUGAACCAGCUCCAUGAUGUCUGCAUCACUCACCUCCUGAAGAUGAAGACAGCAGUUUAGUUUAACAAGUGGCUUUUCUUUAGGUCUAAAGUGUAGUAGCACUUUUAAUCAGAUUGUGAUUUUCGUGCCGUGAGGAAUCAUAACACAAACCAUGAAUCUUUUUUUGGAAAACAGUUUUCUAAGUGGAAAUUUGGAUAAGAAACAAAACCUCUGAGGGGGUCUGCGUUGGCUGUGCCUGCUUCUUUAGCGAUUAAAAUAUCAGAUGACGCAGGGCAACUACAGAGCAAUCAGUUACGAGACAAACUGAGGUAAAGUGAGGAAAAUUCCAACAAGUAAAAUGGGGACAACUGAUAGAGGCUAGGGUUUAAAAAGAAACUUGUAUGCUCAAUUUGAUUUUAAGAAUUUCAUUUUUCUGUUGAUGUUUGUAGGACACAACCCCAGUGCACAUUAACAGUAAUCAUCCAAAGCUUAAUUCACACCUAAUUUCUGUCCCAGCAUUCGUUUAUUUAAUCACUUGAAUCAACUGAGUCUAUGUUUUUAGGUCGAAAGACAAAGGAAAAAAAUAAUGAAUUGUUAUUUUUAUAAGUCAAAUUUUAUGCAGGAAACUAACUUAUAGGAAACUUGCCCAAAUGUUAUUCACAUUAGACUGACAAAUCAAUGAACAUUUCAAGUAUAUCCUCACAAUAAUAGUGCAAGAGACCCUUGGCCCUCUUGAGUGGGGCAAUGCAUGAGUGGAAGGUUAGUGGAGAUCUGCCCUGUGAAGGGAUGGAUCAAUAUUCAUGAGACAGCGAGUUCCCUGCUGGUCUCCAGAGUAGGACAAUGGUCAAUGCUGAGGCAGACAAUGAGUCUCUUGGGAAAUGCUGGGUUCAUAUACUAUCUGACAAUAAAGCUGUUGGGUUUCUGUCAGGUCAAAAUUUAA
This is a long non-coding RNA of Xiphias gladius (swordfish), 1152 nucleotides long. RefSeq lists it as uncharacterized. NCBI's taxonomy places the organism in Eukaryota, Metazoa, Chordata, Actinopteri, Istiophoriformes, Xiphiidae. The transcript is spliced from 2 exons. The record is from RefSeq and is a predicted model, not a curated record.